GAAAGACUGUGGUUCUCGUGUUCCCAUUAAACCCCUUGAUCCUAAUUUGAUAAAUUUAGGGGGUCAGACGAAACUGGGUGAGCAGGCUCUUCAAUGAGUAGCCCGAAAGUUUACUGAGACUCCCACUUGAACCUCCGUGUUCAAGGGCAUUGGCUAAAACGGUCUCGCGGUUUUUCU
RNAcentral lists this non-coding RNA (177 nucleotides) under Cardiobacteriaceae bacterium. Its description in RNAcentral is "6S RNA". It matches the Rfam family "6S / SsrS RNA". Rfam says of the family: E. coli 6S RNA was the first non coding RNA to be sequenced, but its function was unknown until recently. The record is from RNAcentral. Lineage: Bacteria; Pseudomonadati; Pseudomonadota; Gammaproteobacteria; Cardiobacteriales; Cardiobacteriaceae.